GGGCCCGCACAAGCGGUGGAGUAUGUGGUUUAAUUCGAUGCAACGCGAAGAACCUUACCAGGGUUUGACAUCCUGCGAAUCUCUUGGAAACAGGAGAGUGCCUUCGGGAACGCAGUGACAGGUGGUGCAUGGCUGUCGUCAGCUCGUGUCGUGAGAUGUUGGGUUAAGUCCCGCAACGAGCGCAACCCACGUCUUUAGUUGCCAGCAUUUAGUUGGGCACUCUAGAGAGACUGCCGGUGAUAAACCGUGAGGAAGGUGGGGAUGACGUCAAAUCAUCACGGCCCCUUACGUCCUGGGCCACACACGUGCUACAAUGGUAGGUACAGAGGGCAGCAAGUUCGCGAGGACAAGCAAAUCCCAUAAACCGUGGCUCAGUUCAGAUCGUAGGCUGCAACUCGCCUACGUGAAGGAGGAAUCGCUAGUAAUCGCAGGUC
This 434-nucleotide ribosomal RNA is filed under the name uncultured bacterium. RNAcentral describes it as "bacterial SSU rRNA". It matches the Rfam family "Bacterial small subunit ribosomal RNA", at positions 917 to 1350 of the family's 1533-position model. The record is from RNAcentral.